This 356-nucleotide transfer-messenger RNA is filed under the name Actinomycetes bacterium. It matches the Rfam family "transfer-messenger RNA". Rfam says of the family: Bacterial tmRNA, also known as 10Sa RNA or SsrA, is named for its dual tRNA and mRNA-like properties. Its role is to liberate the mRNA from a stalled ribosome. To accomplish this part of the tmRNA is used as a reading frame that ends in a translation stop signal. Lineage: Bacteria; Bacillati; Actinomycetota; Actinomycetes. The record is from RNAcentral.
GGGGGUGCACUGGUUUCGACAGGCAUAUACCGAACAGAGAAGCAAGCCGAGGUCUCCUCGCCUCGUAAAACAGGGGUACUCGCUGUUUAUAUGGCGAAUCUAAUUACGCACUCGCCGCUUAAUUUAGCCGGCGACGUCAAACCGGGGCUCUGUCUCCGGCGCCGGGGCGACGUCAUUUCAGGAGACUGCUUCUUGCGCGCGUGGGCUGUAUAGCACAAGACUAAGAUCGAACAGCCAUGAGAAGGAUCAGGUGGGUUACCGGGCGGCUCCUUCUCAAGAUCAUCCGGUAACUGAGCUUGGAGAUGCUCUGCAAGGUGUGUGUUUGGACGCGGGUUCGAUUCCCGCCACCUCCACCA